GCGGUCGGCCGGCAGAAUCGGCGCCGCCGUGAUGAGAUGCGGAGGCUCCGACGAGAUCGAUCUAUUCGCUGCUGUGCUCGGAGCUGCAUCUCCGUCGUCCCCGGAUCCGGGAAUAUUUGCCCAAAAUAUUGCAGUGGAGAGCAAUGAGCGGCUUUGACGGCGCGGCAGCUUGUAGCCUUGGCAUCAGGCGGCGCGGCUGAUGGUCUCAUCAUAUGGCGGUUUCGCCGCGGAGCAGCAGGAUGAUUUGGUGGCGACUGGAUGGCAACUGCGGAUGGUCUCAUCAGACAGCGAUGGUGUUGAGGUGGCUGGACCAUGGGCAGCACCAUCUUGGUACACGGGCUGUAGGUUAAAGAGGUGGCUUAACCUGCCAUCACGGUGAUCCCCGACCAUCAAUGCCUUCACUCUACUAUCAAGAGUCAACACUCUACGCUGGUACGGAAUUCUCGUGAAUCUAAUUUCCCAACCAUCUUCACUACGUAUGUGUUCAGUUCAUAACAUGUAUAUUCUUCAGUGCAGCUCCCAACUCUUUGCUCACUUCUGAUGCACUACAACACGUAAUUUUUCUUGUUUUAGUUUUAUUAGCAAAUACUCAUGGAGCUGCAAACUCGAUCAUAAUUUAUUUUAGUUACAAUGAGGUGGACUCA
This is a long non-coding RNA of Lolium rigidum, 644 nucleotides long. RefSeq lists it as uncharacterized. Lineage: Eukaryota; Viridiplantae; Streptophyta; Magnoliopsida; Poales; Poaceae. The transcript has 2 exons. The record is from RefSeq and is a predicted model, not a curated record.